RNAcentral lists this ribosomal RNA (497 nucleotides) under uncultured bacterium. RNAcentral describes it as "partial 16S ribosomal RNA". It matches the Rfam family "Bacterial small subunit ribosomal RNA", at positions 28 to 507 of the family's 1533-position model. The record is from RNAcentral.
GACGAACGCUGGCGGCGUGCCUAAUACAUGCAAGUAGAACGCUGAAGAGAGGAGCUUGCUCUUCUUGGAUGAGUUGCGAACGGGUGAGUAACGCGUAGGUAACCUGCCUUGUAGCGGGGGAUAACUAUUGGAAACGAUAGCUAAUACCGCAUAACAAUGGAUGACACAUGUCAUUUAUUUGAAAGGGGCAAUUGCUCCACUACAAGAUGGACCUGCGUUGUAUUAGCUAGUAGGUGAGGUAAUGGCUCACCUAGGCGACGAUACAUAGCCGACCUGAAAGGGUGAUCGGCCACACUGGGACUGAGACACGGCCCAGACUCCUACGGGAGGCAGCAGUAGGGAAUCUUCGGCAAUGGGGGCAACCCUGACCGAGCAACGCCGCGUGAGGGAAGAAGGUUGUCGGAUCGUAAAGCUCUGUUGUAAGUCAAGAACGGGUGUGAGAGUGGAAAGUUCACACUGUGACGGUAGCUUACCAGAAAGGGACGGCUAACUACGUG